RNAcentral lists this ribosomal RNA (468 nucleotides) under uncultured bacterium. Its description in RNAcentral is "partial 16S ribosomal RNA". It matches the Rfam family "Bacterial small subunit ribosomal RNA", at positions 28 to 507 of the family's 1533-position model. The record is from RNAcentral.
GACGAACGCUGGCGGCGUGCUUAACACAUGCAAGUCGAACGGAAAGGCCCUGCUUUUGUGGGGUGCUCGAGUGGCGAACGGGUGAGUAACACGUGAGUAACCUGCCCUUGACUUUGGGAUAACUUCAGGAAACUGGGGCUAAUACCGGAUAGGAGCUCCUGCUGCAUGGUGGGGGUUGGAAAGUUUCGGCGGUUGGGGAUGGACUCGCGGCUUAUCAGCUUGUUGGUGGGGUAGUGGCUUACCAAGGCUUUGACGGGUAGCCGGCCUGAGAGGGUGACCGGCCACAUUGGGACUGAGAGACGGCCCAGACUCCUACGGGAGGCAGCAGUGGGGAAUAUUGCACAAUGGGCGGAAGCCUGAUGCAGCAGCGCCGCGUGCGGGAUGACGGCCUUCGGGUUGUAAACCGCUUUCGCCUGUGACGAAGCGGGAGUGACGGUAAUGGGUAAAGAAGCACCGGCUAACUACGUG